GACGAACGCUGGCGGCGUGCUUAACACAUGCAAGUCGAACGGAAAGGCCCUGAGUUUGUUGGGUGCUCGAGUGGCGCACGGGUGAGUAACACGUGAGUAACCUGCACUUGACUUUGGGAUAAAUUCAGGAAACAGGGGCUAAUACCGCAUAGGAGCUCCUGCUGCAUGUUGUGGGUUGGAAAGUUUCGGCGGUUGGGGAUGGAUUCGCGGCUUAUCAGCUGGUUGGUGGGGUAGUUGCAUACCAAGGCUUUGACGGGUAGCCGGCAUGAGAGGGUGACCGGCGACAUUGGGCCUGAGAGACGGACCAGACUCCUACGGGAGGCAGCAGUGGGGAAUAUUGCGCAAUGGGCGGAAGCCUGAUGCAGCAACGCCGCGUGCGGGAUGACGGCUUUCGGGUUGUAAACCGCUUUCGCCUGUGACGAAGCGUGAGUGACGGUAAUGGGUAAAGAAGCACCGGCUAACUACGUG
This 468-nucleotide ribosomal RNA is filed under the name uncultured bacterium. RNAcentral's name for it is "partial 16S ribosomal RNA". It matches the Rfam family "Bacterial small subunit ribosomal RNA", at positions 28 to 507 of the family's 1533-position model. The record is from RNAcentral.